Molecule: ribosomal RNA, 405 nt
Filed under: uncultured prokaryote
Description: bacterial SSU rRNA
Rfam family: Bacterial small subunit ribosomal RNA
Source: RNAcentral
UGGGGAAUAUUGCGCAAUGGAGAAGAACUCUGACGCAGCAAUACCGCGUGAGCGAAGAAGGUCUUCGGAUCGUAAAGCUCUGUUAUCAGGGAAGAAGAAAAUGACGGUACCUGAUGAGCAAGUCCGGCUAACUACGUGCCAGCAGCCGCGGUAAUACGUAGGGGACAAGCGUUGUCCGGAAUCACUGGGCGUAAAGGGCGCGCAGGCGGUGAUUUAAGCAGGAGGUGAAAGGCUACGGCUCAACCGUAGACAUGCAACCUGAACUGGGUCACUUGAGUAUUGGAGAGGCAGGCAGAAUUCCUGGUGUAGCGGUGAAAUGCGUAGAUAUCAGGAGGAAUACCGGAGGCGAAGGCGGCCUGCUGGACAAAUACUGACGCUGAGGCGCGAAGGCGUGGGGAGCAAACA